Molecule: ribosomal RNA, 416 nt
Filed under: uncultured bacterium
Lineage: Bacteria
Description: bacterial SSU rRNA
Rfam family: Bacterial small subunit ribosomal RNA
Source: RNAcentral
AUUGAACGCUGGCGGAAUGCUUUACACAUGCAAGUCGAACGGCAGCACGGGAGCUUGCUCCUGGUGGCGAGUGGCGAACGGGUGAGUAAUGCGUCGGAACGUGCCGAGUAAUGGGGGAUAACGCAGCGAAAGUUGUGCUAAUACCGCAUACGCCCUGAGGGGGAAAGGUAGGGGGAGUCGCAAGACCUCACGUUAUUCGAGCGGCCGACGUCUGAUUAGCUAGUUGGUGGGGUAAAGGCCUACCAAGGCGACGAUCAGUAGCGGGUCUGAGAGGAUGAUCCGCCACACUGGGACUGAGACACGGCCCAGACUCCUACGGGAGGCAGCAGUGGGGAAUUUUGGACAAUGGGGGCAACCCUGAUCCAGCCAUUCCGCGUGAGUGAAGAAGGCCUCGGUUGUAAGGUACUCUUCUAGCU